RNAcentral lists this long non-coding RNA (661 nucleotides) under Manihot esculenta (cassava). RNAcentral's name for it is "long non-coding RNA (MESC_LNC010538)". Lineage: Eukaryota; Viridiplantae; Streptophyta; Magnoliopsida; Malpighiales; Euphorbiaceae. The record is from RNAcentral.
AGAUUUUAGAUUGUUGUUGUUGCCUGUGUCAAUAACUGAAUCUCCGAUGCUCUGGAAUUUUUCCAUUGGUCCGUCCGCAAGUAAAAAGGAGAAGUGGAAGUAAAACGGUUGAAACAACAGAAUGUAUUUUCACCAAGAAAACACCACAUUUUCAGGUGAAUUGUGCAUUGUGCGAGAAAUUUUUAUACACAUCCGAAUGUAUACACUCCACUAAUAAAUAAAUUAACACUAGUCAAAAUCAUGAUAGAUUUCAUAUUCAAAUUGAAAUAAAUAUUCCAGUGGAUGCAAGAAAGCAGGCAUACAAAGGGGAUAAACAGUUCUUGUAAUUCUUUAACCAAAGAUUGCUAUGUACAAUAAAAAAAAAUUUCUCUGUUGAAAGCUGAUCAAGCACAAUUUAGCCACAUUUUUAUUAUCUCUUUUAUUGCUUAUUUACACAUUUUCUUGCUUAAUUUAUGGUUUUUAUCUUAUUUUUACAAAAAAGGAAGAAUCUGGAAAAUGGGAGAAAAAGUGCAGAAAAUUUGCAAAAGGAUGAUUUGCCCAGUGAUUUGCCCAAAAAUCUGCUCCAAUCACUGCCCAGAUCAAGCUAAAACAGAUACCCAGAGGCAACAGACAGCAGUGACAUGGGCAAGCGAUUUGACCAAGACAAUCGAGGAUCACUGGC